UAAAGUGCGAUAUCUAAUGUGAUUUGCAUGAAUCUGUGAGUCAUCUAGUCUUUGAACGCAACUUGCACCUCUCGAGAAAUCGAGCGGUAUGUCUGUUUGAGAACCACAAACCUCUUUGCUUUACCUUAUCGUGAGCAGAUGUGAGACACUGUGGGUGUCUUGAAAUAAAGCAUGCAAGGCUUAUGAGCGUGUGCCAUGUGCUAGAGAUCGCAAGAUCUUGUCAUGGUAUACGGGAGUAGCCGAACCCAUAUUUUAUUUAAUUGAGGUCUCAAAUCAGGCAAGAUUACCCGCUGAACUUAA
This 300-nucleotide unclassified non-coding RNA is filed under the name uncultured fungus. RNAcentral describes it as "sequence contains ITS1". The stretch from base 1 to 106 matches the Rfam family "5.8S ribosomal RNA", at positions 49 to 154 of the family's 154-position model. Lineage: Eukaryota; Fungi. The record is from RNAcentral.